Molecule: ribosomal RNA, 251 nt
Filed under: uncultured prokaryote
Description: partial 16S rRNA
Rfam family: Bacterial small subunit ribosomal RNA
Source: RNAcentral
ACGUAGGGGGCAAGCGUUGCUCGGAAUUACUGGGCGUAAAGGGAGUGUAGGUGGCUGAUUAAGUUAAGGAUGAAAUCCCUAGGCUCAACUUCGGAACUGUACUUGAUACUGGUCAGCUUGAGUCUAGUAAAGGAGAGCGGAAUUCCCGGUGGAGCGGUGAAAUGCGUAGAUAUCGGGCGGAACACCAGAUGCGUAGGCGGUUCUCUAGGCUAGUCCUGACACUGGUACUCGAAAGCUAGGGGAGCAAACGG